UGAGCGACAUGGGAAGAUUGGUAAACAUGUAGUGUUACAUGUGACAAUGGAACCAUGUCGCGUACACGAACUUGCACCAACCCGGCAACGAUGGCCUUAAUUGCAGAGGACAUGACGUUGACCGGAAAUUGUGCAUCAAACAGCUUUGUCCAGUACAUGGGAACUGAGCGAGCUGGUCUGCGUGAUCCGACUGUUCGGUUAGUUGCGAUGUUGGCCUGAGAAAUAAAACAAGAAUCUGCACCAAUCCAAGACCGGAUCGCUUUGGUAAUAAUUGUAAUGGUGAUGCGAGCGAAUACAGCAUUUACCAAAUGGUACCCUGUAUAAACCCAGCAUGGUCCGGCUGUUUCGUUAGUUGUGAUGUUGGACUUCUGACAAGAUCUCGAACAUGCGAUAACCCCAAACCGAACAAAUACGGUGAAUAUUGCUCCGGCGUUGGUUUUGAGAAUGCUGUUUGUCUCAAUGACCCCUGCGGUACGCGAAGCAAGUUUUCCACGGCACUGGUCAGACUGGUCCGCGUGGUCCGGCUGUUCCGUUAGUUGUGAUGUUGGACUGCAGACAAGAUCUCGAACAUGCGAUAAUCCAAAACAAUACAAAUACGGUGAAUAUUGCUCUGGCGUUGGUCUGGAGAAUGCUGUUUGUCUCAAUGAUCCCUGUGAUG
Dreissena polymorpha is the source of this 658-nucleotide long non-coding RNA. RefSeq lists it as uncharacterized. The transcript is spliced from 4 exons. The record is from RefSeq and is a predicted model, not a curated record. NCBI's taxonomy places the organism in Eukaryota, Metazoa, Mollusca, Bivalvia, Myida, Dreissenidae.